UGGACAGAUUAUUGUAUUCACGGUGUGAAAUAGGGGAUUACACUGUUUUUAAAUGAAAAAUGAAUCAAUUAACAUAAUAGACUCCU
RNAcentral lists this microRNA precursor (86 nucleotides) under Nicotiana tabacum (common tobacco). Its description in RNAcentral is "MIR6152 microRNA precursor family". It matches the Rfam family "MIR6152 microRNA precursor family". Lineage: Eukaryota; Viridiplantae; Streptophyta; Magnoliopsida; Solanales; Solanaceae. The record is from Rfam by way of RNAcentral.